GGCGCUUUCAGGAACAGCAAGAUCGAGCUCACGGUGGCGCUGCCAAACGAGAUGCUGCGGCUGGUGGGAUCGCUCCCGGCGGCGGCUCGCAAUUGGGUUCGUAGGAACGUGACGCGCUACAUCCGAGAGAACGUCAAUAUCAAGUAAAAACUCUCUCUCGAUCGAUCAUAGAGAAAGCUAGAAAAACAAAAGCUUGCCUGGAUGGAUCAUGGCUGUUUGGCUGCUUGAUCGAUUGCUCCCAGCUUUUCUAGCAUCUGGAACAUAGAUGAAAGUCGAUGAGGGGUAACUUUAGCGUUUCUAGCAUCUGGAAAGUCCAUGAGUGGUUUUGUCUGAUCGAUUGUUACCAGCUUUUCCAGCAUCUGGAACAUAGAUCAAAGUCGAUGAGUGGUAGCUUUGAUCGAUUACUACCUCGAUUGAUCGUCCAAAACUCUGUCCAUCCAGGUAUGUAGCGAUCGGCAACGAGCCCUUCCUCAAGAGCUACAAUGGGAGCUAUCAAUCCUACACGUACCCAGCGCUGAUCAACAUCCAGAACGCGCUACGCGGCGGCGACGAAGGCACCCGCGCCGUCAAGGCAACCAUCCCCAUGAACGCCGACGUGCUGGCGGAGACCGUACCCAUGAUCCCAUCUGGGGGCGCAUUCCGUACCGAUGUGGCCGCCGAGAUGAGCCGCAUCGCCGCCGCGCUCGCCGAUCACGCGUCGCCCUUCACGAUCAACAUCUACCCCUUCCUCAGCCUGGCGCAGGAUCCAUUCUUCCCCAAGGAAUUCGCCUUCUUGGACGGCGCCGCCCCGCCGCUCGUCGAUGGCGAUCGAUCCUACUCCAACGCCUUCGCCGCCGCCUACGAUACCCUAGCCGCGGCGCUCGCGAGGAUCGGCUUCCCGGACAUGGCGAUCGUGGUGGGAGAGAUCGGCUGGCCGACCGAGGGGCAUCCCGACGCCACCGCUACAAACGCUCAGCGAUUCAACCAGCGGCUCGUGGAUCACAUCCUGGACGGCGCCGGGACGCCGAUGCGCGCGGGGCCGAUGGAGAUUUUCCUCUUCGCGCUGCUCGACGAGGACCAGAAACCUAUCGCGGCUGGAAACUUCGAGCGCCACUGGGGAAUCCUCGCAUCCGACGGGGCGGCAAAGUACACGCUCAACCUAACAGUUUUGGGCGGGACAAAUUCAAAUUCAAAUUCAAAUUUGAAUUCUUCCCGCCCGGCUAUGGCGAUGGACGGGGUUAGGGUUCGUCGCCUCCCCAGCAAGUGGUGCGUGCUCAAUCCCGACGCCGAUGUCACGCUCGUCGGCCAGAACAUGGAGUACGCUUGCAGCUUCGCCGAUUGCACGCCGCUCAUGUAUGGGGGAUCGUGCAACGAGAUUGGCGGCGAUGGGAACGCUUCCUUCGCUUUCAAUAGCUACUUCCAGAUCAAUCAGCAGGAG
This 1417-nucleotide long non-coding RNA is filed under the name Selaginella moellendorffii. RNAcentral's name for it is "long non-coding RNA (SMOE_LNC002150)". Lineage: Eukaryota; Viridiplantae; Streptophyta; Lycopodiopsida; Selaginellales; Selaginellaceae. The record is from RNAcentral.